AAUUAUUAUUAUUAUUAUUAUUAUUAUUAUUAUUAUUAUUUAGUUAUUAUGUUUUUUUUUCUAUUAUAUGUAUAUUGGCACUGAAUUUCUGCCAUUAAUAUGUUGUAAACUGCCUUGAGUCCCCCAAGGGUGAAAAAGGUGGUAUAUAAAUACAGUAAAUCAAUCAAUCAAUCAAUCAAUCAAGCUGAUGUCACCUGCCUACUUAGAACAUCUCAUAUCAGAUCUAAUAUAAUGCAAGUCUUACCUUUUUUUUUUACAAGAUAAAUAGAAAGUUUUUACCAAAGUAAGUUCUUUCACAGAUUUUAGAAUAUAUGUUUAACCAAACAACAGAUUAACCGAACAGAUAACAUCAACCUUCCAUAUUUGCUGGUUAAGCAACUGUGGUUUGAUUAUUCAUGGGUUGGUGUAUGUAUUUGAUGCUGCCUCAGCUGCCCAACAUACAACUGACAAAAUAUAUUAUUUCUAGGCAUUUGUAGAUCUUAAAGUGUGAUUCUAUGGAAGCUGACCUUAUAAUUACAUGGGAGAGCCUACAAAUGCUUAGAGAAAUGCUAAAAAAUAGUGUUUGCAAUUCUUAUUGAUAUUUCGGGUUUUUCCACUUUCAUGAGGACAUUGCAACCCUACCCUCACAAAUGAGAACAUAUUACUGUACAACCAAGCAGAUAAAGUUACAAGCAAUAGCACCUCUCAAUAUUACUUUCUGCAAAAUGUCUUUGUUGUUACAGGGGACAGGGAAAAGGCAGAACUGCUCAAUGCCUUCUUUGCCUCGGUCUUCUCACAAAAAGAAAGCCAUCUUCAACCUCAGCAACAUGGAAUGGAUGAAGGAUUGGCGGAAAUCCAACCCCAAAUAGGGAAACAAGCUGUCCAGGAACACCUGGCCUCUCUAAACGAAUUCAAGUCCCCAGGGCCAGAUCAGCUACAUCCAAGAGUAUUGAAGGAAUUAGCGGAAGUUAUUUCAGAACCACUGGCAAUUAUCUUCGAGAGUUCUUGGAGAACGGGAGAAGUCCCAGCAGAUUGGAGGAGGGCGAAUGUGGUCCCUAUCUUCAAGAAGGGAAAAAAGAACGACCCAAACAAUUACCGUCUGGUCAGCCUCACAUCGAUACCAGGCAAGAUUCUGGAAAAGAUCAUCAAGGAAGUGGUCUGCGAACACUUAGAAACAAAUGCGGUCAUUGCUAAUAGUCAACACGGAUUUACCAAAAACAAGUCAUGCCAGACUAAUCUGAUCUCUUUUUUCGAUAGAGUUACGAGUUGGGUCGAUACAGGGAAUGCUGUGGAUGUAGCGUACCUGGAUUUCAGUAAGGCCUUCGACAAAGUCCCCCACGACCUUCUGGCAAAUAAACUAGUAAAAUGUAGGCUAGACAAAACUACGGUUAGGUGGAUCUGCAAUUGGCUAAGCAAACGAACCCAAAGGGUGCUCACAAAUGCGUCAUCUUCAUCAUGGAAAGAAGUGACAAGUGGAGUGCCGCAGGGCUCCGUCCUGGGCCCGGUUCUGUUCAACAUCUUUAUUAACGACUUAGACGAAGGGUUAGAAGGCACGAUCAUCAAGUUUGCAGAUGACACAAAACUGGGAGGGAUAGCCAACACUCCAGAAGACAGGAGCAGAAUUCAAAACGAUCUUGACAGACUAGAGAGAUGGGCCAAAACUAACAAAAUGAAGUUCAACAGGGACCAAAUGCAAGAUACUUCAUUUCGGCAGAAAAAAUGGAAAUCAAAGAUACAGAAUGGGGGACGCCUGGCUUGACAGCAGUGUGUGCGAAAAAGACCUUGGAGUCCUCGUGGACAACAAGUUAAACAUGAGCCAACAAUGUGAUGCAGCAGCUAAAAAAGCCAACGGGAUUCUGGCCUGCAUCAAUAGGGGAAUAGCGUCUAGAUCCAGGGAAGUCAUGCUCCCCCUCUAUUCUGCCAUGGUCAGACCACACCUGGAAUACUGCGUCCAAUUCUGGGCACCACAGUUGAAGGGAGAUGUUGACAAGCUGGAAAGCGUCCAGAGGAGGGCGACUAAAAUGAUUAAGGGUCUGGAGAACAAGCCCUAUGAGGAGCGGCUUAAAGAGCUUGGCAUGUUUAGCCUGCAGAAGAGAAGGCUGAGAGGAGACAUGAUAGCCAUGUACAAAUACGUGAAGGGAAGUCAUAGGGAGGAGGGAGCAAGCUUGUUUUCUGCUGCCCUGCAGACUAGGACACGGAACAAUGGUUUCAAACUACAGGAAAGGAGAUUCCACCUGAACAUCAGGAAGAACUUCCUCACUGUGAGGGCUGCUCGACAGUGGAACUCUCUCCCCCGGGCUGUGGUGGAGGCUCCUUCCUUGGAGGCUUUUAAGCAGAGGCUGGAUGGCCAUCUGUCGGGGGUGCUUUGAAUGCGAUUUCCUGCUUCUUGGCAGGGGGUUGGACUGGAUGGCCCAUGAGGUCUCUUCCAACUCUACUAUCCUAUGAUUCUAUGAUUCUAUGAUCUUAUUUUCCUUGCUGGGCACCAUGGCCCGUGGCACAGGCAGGCCAGGAGGUGGAGGGAGAGAGAGGGGGAGAGCUCGGAAGUCAGCAGCAGCAGCAACAGCCCAAGGAGCCACCGGAGCAGGAAGGAGGUGCAGACGGGAGGAGGAAAGGCAGCCGCGGAGGGCUCGAAGGCGGCAGCAUACUUCCCUUGUUCUCGAUGGUCGCCUCCCUUAUCCUUUUCCUUUGCUGCCCCCCCUCCCUUACUCACUGGCCCACUCACCGGGCUGGGUCCUGGUAGCAAGGCCAGAACCAGGGCCCAGCCCAGUGAGUGAGCGAGCGAGGGCGAGAGGGCAGGUGUUGGAUAAUUCUGUGUGUCGGAUAAGCGAAAGUCAGAUAAGUGGGACUCUACUGUACUAUCAAUUGAGGUUUUAUCCUUUAUCAUUAAUAAGAACCUCCUGUCUCAUUAAGAUGGCUGUAUCAAAUUCAGCAACAUAUAGCACUGUAUGACAGUGGCAGUAACAACAGAGGAUGAAUUCUUUGAAAUCCUGCUAGUGAGCCCUCUGGGGCAUGUCAUUGGUGUCUCUAUAAAGCACGAUAAUGGAUGAGAUGAAAGUUGAUGAGAACCAGAAGUACUCUUCAUUUGUUUUUCCAGUAAAAAGCACAUUUUUAUUUCCUUGAGAAUUCACAGAUUGCCCAACCAGCAUCCUGAGCAACAGAUAUGCACUUAAAACAAAAAAAACCCUCAGAGCCCAGGAAAUUGUUUUACAUACAAGAGAAAUCAGUGUACUAUAGCUCUUUGAGCAUUGGACCACUACUAUAGAAAUUGGGGAUUGAAUCACUGCUCAGCCA
RNAcentral lists this long non-coding RNA (3270 nucleotides) under Anolis carolinensis (green anole). RNAcentral describes it as "lncRNA (ENSACAG00000042222.1)". Lineage: Eukaryota; Metazoa; Chordata; Lepidosauria; Squamata; Anolidae. The record is from RNAcentral.